RNAcentral lists this ribosomal RNA (362 nucleotides) under uncultured bacterium. Its description in RNAcentral is "bacterial SSU rRNA". It matches the Rfam family "Bacterial small subunit ribosomal RNA", at positions 28 to 424 of the family's 1533-position model. The record is from RNAcentral.
GACGAACGCUGGCGGCAGGCUUAAGACAUGCAAGUCGAACGCCCUCGGGGGAGUGGCAGACGGGUGAGUAACACGUGGGAACCUACCCAGUUGUACGGAACAACACAGAGAAAUUUGUGCUAAUACCGUAUACGCCCUAUGGGGAAAGAUUUAUCGCAAUUGGAUGGGCCCGCGUUUGAUUAGCUAGUUGGUGAGGUAACGGCUCACCAAGGCGACGAUCAAUAGCUGGUCUGAGAGGACGAUCAGCCACACUGGGACUGAGACACGGCCCAGACUCCUACGGGAGGCAGCAGUCGGGAAUAUUGGACAAUGGCGCAAGCCUGAUCCAGCCAUGCCGCGUGUGUGAUGAAGGCCCUAGGGUU